Molecule: RNA transcript, 2137 nt
Organism: Panicum hallii
Lineage: Eukaryota; Viridiplantae; Streptophyta; Magnoliopsida; Poales; Poaceae
Exons: 10
Source: RefSeq, a predicted model, not a curated record
GUUCCUCGAUCCAUUAUCCAUAUAUUCCCCGUCUCCUCUUUUCCCACUGAGUCACCAUUACACUGUCGCCGCCGCUACCCCGCCGGCCGACGAGAUGAGAGCCGCCACUGCGGCCUCCUUCCGUCUGGCUCCCGCCACGAACCCGCCCCAUCGCCGCGCCUCCGCCACCUCCUCCUGUUCCCUGAAACCCGCCCCGAUUGCUCAGCCAUCUCGCGUCUUCACGCUCGCCCGCCGCGCGCCUGUCGCCCGCGCCUCUCUUGGGGUAUCUCAUGAUAAAGGCUCCGAGGUCUCUGGCGCCGAUGUUGUUAGCCAGAAUGAUCUACUGAUUGUGGGCCCUGGCGUGCUUGGACGAAUUGUAGCUGAGAAGUGGCAAAAGGAGCAUCCGGGUUGCAAAGUUUAUGGCCAGACUGCAAGCACAAAUCAUCAUAGCGAGUUAACAGAUCUUGGUAUCAUCCCCUCAUUGAAGGGCUCCACUAUUUCUCAGAAGGUUCCGCAUGUUAUUUUCUGUGCUCCUCCAUCUGGUUCUGAUGAUUACCCUGAGGAUGUCAGAGUGGCAGCGUCAAAUUGGAAUGGUGAAGGAUCUUUCCUGUUUACAUCAAGCACUGCUCUGUAUGACUGCAGUGACAACAUGAUGUGCAAUGAGUAUUGUCCAUCAGUGCCAAUUGGCAGGAGCCCUCGUACCGAUGUACUUCUGAAAGUGGAAAAUGUUGUUCUUGAGGCAGGAGGUUGUGUUCUCAGGCUAGCUGGACUUUAUAAGAUAGAUAGAGGUGCUCAUGUAUUUUGGUUGAGGAAAGGUACUUUGGACACACGACCAGAUCAUAUCAUCAACCAGAUUCAUUAUGAGGAUGCUGCUUCCCUUGCAAUAGCGAUCAUGAAAAAGAGACUGCGGAAUCAAACCUUUCUUGGCUGUGACAAUAAGCCUCUUUCCAGGUCAUUGUCGACUUUCUGGCAAGAAAUAAUGGACGCUGUGAACAGAAGUGGAAAAUUUGACACGAAGUUUGAAGGCUUUACUGGUACUGACGGUCCAUUGGGCAAGAGGAUGGAGAACUCGAAAACUCGGGCUGAGAUUGGGUGGGAGCCUAAGUAUCCCAGCUUCACUGAAUUCCUUGGUCUCAGCAGCUAGCAAUAUCCUUGCAUAGUGUUCAGUUCUUCUGACUCGAUUGAGUAGCAACCGCAGACCGCAAAGAAGUCGUACUAAGGAACAGCACAGUUGAACUCUUUGCAACAGGCGAGAAACCCAAAGAUUUUUCUCUGAGUUCGCCGCUAGGCUGACAUGUGGGCCCGAUCGUGCCACAGACCCUGCCGUCUCUGCACCGGCCUAUUCUUCUUUGGACCUGCUCCCAUGGAUGGUAGUAAACAAGUCAGUUGCAUAUCCUCCCCUCCUUUUGCGUCCCAAGCAAACCAUUUGCGUCCUUUCUCCACGCUCGAAGCAAACUCUGUCCCUCCUCUUUCUCUCUCUCACACACGCAGAGUCGCAGAGGAGAUUCACAAGUCUCACUCUCGCCGCAAAGAAGAGGCGCACCGCCAUGGGAUCGGGAUCAUGCUGCUGUAUGGGGUGCAACGGCGGCGACGACGACAGCGGAGGCGACGCCGGCGGCGGGCUGGACCCCAAGGGGUUCUUGCUGGCCAUGAUGAUCGCCCUGGUGCUCUUCAUGCUCUGCCACGUACGGCCGCCCCGCCGGAACUCGUACGUCGUGUACCGCUGCUACUGACGGCUGAUGGCCGCCGCCGCCGCCGGGACGCUUGACCGUCAGGAGGACCGAUCCAUGAAGCGAACUUGAAGGUCUCGCCAUGCUCUGGUAACUCGAUUCGCGGGUCCAUCCUCUCCUCUGUAGUAGUAGAAAGCAAGCUGAGUGAGCUCUACAUUUUCUUUUUCUUUUAUCAGCAAUAUAAUUAAUACGGAAGAAGUUUUUAGGCAGAAAAGCCAGUACAUGUUCGAUGGGUGAUGUAUCCAACUGAACUGAUCAAUCGGAAAGAGAGAUCGCACCGCAAGGAGAAUCUGUUUUCGUCUCCUUAUUGAUUCGCCUCGUGUUUGCAUUUUGGUUCCCUUUGCUCUUUAUUUCUAGCUUGUUGAUCAUGUAAAGUAUAUAGUAAUGGAUUUUUGCAAAGAUAUACGAGCAGAUCUUUGUUCUUUUCA